This 461-nucleotide ribosomal RNA is filed under the name uncultured bacterium. Its description in RNAcentral is "partial 16S ribosomal RNA". It matches the Rfam family "Bacterial small subunit ribosomal RNA", at positions 338 to 795 of the family's 1533-position model. The record is from RNAcentral.
CCUACGGGGUGCAGCAGUGAGGAAUAUUGGUCAAUGGACGCAAGUCUGAACCAGCCAAGUAGCGUGCAGGAUGACGGCCCUCCGGGUUGUAAACUGCUUUUAGUUGGGAAUAAAAGGGGGCUCGUGAGCCCCGUAUUGUAUGUACCAUCAGAAAAAGGACCGGCUAAUUCCGUGCCAGCAGCCGCGGUAAUACGGAAGGUCCGGGCGUUAUCCGGAUUUAUUGGGUUUAAAGGGAGCGUAGGCCGGCUUUUAAGUCAGCUGUGAAGUCCGCGGCUCAACCGUGGAAUUGCAGUUGAAACUGGAGGCCUUGAGUGCACACAGGGAUGCCGGAAUUCAUGGUGUAGCGGUGAAAUGCGUAGAUAUAUGGAAGAACACCAGUGGCGAAAGCGGCUCUCUGGUCUGUAACUGACGCUGAGGUUCGAAAGCGUGGGUAGCAAACAGGAUUAGAUACCCUUGUAGUC